Long non-coding RNA from Armigeres subalbatus, 2885 nucleotides. RefSeq lists it as uncharacterized. The record is from RefSeq and is a predicted model, not a curated record. The transcript has 3 exons. NCBI's taxonomy places the organism in Eukaryota, Metazoa, Arthropoda, Insecta, Diptera, Culicidae.
UCCCAGCAAGGAAGGUUACUCUAACUUGAGCAUAAUGUGCAUCUAACCUGUGAGAUAGUUACACUAACAUUCUCUCUAACGGUUAGGGUAAAGUGAGGCUAAAGUUACGCUAGAAUGACACACUUUUGUUAGGUAUGUUUAUGCUUGGUGCAUAAUUCCAUCUAACCUGUUACACUCACGUUACAUCAACGUUAGAUAUGUUUCGCUUUGGGCGGUUAGGCAGGGAUUAGGGUUGUUUCAAAAGGGAUUUUCAUGCUGAUUUAUUUACAUUCAACUGUCAUCAGAGACAGAAUGUAUAUGUACUAGUGAAAGUACAUAUACAUAACUGCCUCCAAUGACAGUUGAAUGUAAAUAAAAUAUAAAUAAAGAUCUUCGGGAACUUUUUCCCGAAUAUUUUAAUUAUUUUAUUAUUUGCUAUCAUCAAAAAACCAAACAGCGGUUUGCUUUUCCUCGAUGCGAUUCUCCUCUCCUUUCGGCUCGGAACAGCCUCCGUCGUCUGGCCAGCAAAGCAGCAUAGUCGUGUUUACAGACAAAAAUAUUAGUGAAGCGAUCCUGACAAAGGUUUGCACUAUCGCUUUCAGCGACGCACCUCUUUCGGCUAAGAUCAGGUUUCGUUGUCUGGCCACUUCCAAGGAAAUGAAGCGAAGUACGAUGAAAAUUGAGAAAUGGUCUAGUACGUGGUGUUGCAGAAACAAAUGCAUCCGGAAGAGUAGUUUGAAAUUUCGGUCCGGAAAUGUACUUCCUCGUCCGAUACUGGAAAAUGCUUUGCAAUUUUCAAAAAGCAUCUGCGACGACCAUCCAUCCGGUGCGGCCAUUUGCUUCCGGUCCAUUAGCAGGACAAGUUCCAAGGACUUGAGGAGCAACAAUAUAAACAAAACUAAAUAAAAAUCAAUUUAAAAUUGACUUAUUAUAUUUUGAGCUUGAAUCUCCAGAAAUCCGUGUAUAAAUUUCUUUGAAAACUCUUCUCCACCCUCGUCUUCAGCUAUACCAGUUCUUUCGAAAAGGAAUUCUCUGGAAAUUCUUAUAAUCCUCCAGAAGAUACGAUGGUGCAAAAAAUCCUUCAGGAGAUGCUCUGAAAAAUCCUCCAAGGAUUAAUCUGGGAAUUCCCUCAGGGGUGCCGAAAUGUAUCUAGGAGUUCCAUUGGAAAUACCUACAGAAUUUUCUCCAAGAUUUUUUCGUGAAGUUCCUGGUAAUUAUUUUGGGUGUCAAGCUGUUCCGCAAUCACGCCGAAAGUGCCUCUGGAAAUUCUUCCAAGAGGUCAUUUGGAAAUAUCUCUCGAAAUACCCCUGGUAAUCCCUUCAUGGGUUCCCAAAUUCCUCCAUAAAUUCCUUCCAAGAAAGUCCCUUCGAGUUCCACUGGAAGUUUUACCGGGAAUCAUGAUUGGAACUCUAGAAUUCCUCUCAGAGUAUCUUUAUAUAUUUUUCUCCGAGCUGCUCUGGCAAUUGCUCCAGGGCAUUCUAUAAAAAAUCACUCUGGAACUGCUCCGGGAAUUCCUCCAAGAGUUCCUCCGAAAUCUCAUCCAGGAGCUCCUCUGGGAGUUCAUCUGGAUAUUCAUCCAGGAGUGUCUCUAUAAAUUCCUUCAGGAUUGCUCUGGGAAUUCCUUCAGGAGUUUCUCUGUGAAUUCCCCCAAGAGUUCCUCUGGGAAUUACUUUCGCAGUUCAUCUGGGAAUCACUUCAACAGAUCAGCUGAAAAUUUUUCCAGUACUUCAUCUGAAAAUUUUCCAGGAGUUCCUCUGAGAAUUCCUCUAGGAGUUCUCUGAAAAUUCUUCCAGGAGUUCAUCCUCUGGGAAUACCCCAAUAGUUCAUCUGGGAUUCCUCCAGUGGUUUCUAUGGGAACUGCUCUAAUAAUUCAUCCAGGAGUAUCUUUGGGAAUUCCUCCAGGAGUUCUUCUAUAAACUCUUCCAGGAGUUCUACUAGGUGUUUCUCUGGGAGAGAAAUUACUACAAGAGUUCCUCAGCAGGUUUCAAUGGAAAUUCUUCUAGGAGUUCUUCUGAGAAUUCCUAAAGUAGAUCCCCUGGAAAUUUCUCUGAGUUUUUUUUUCAGCAGGAGAAUCCUUCAGCAGUUCAUCUAAGAAUCCCUCCAGGAACUUUUCUGACAAUUAUUCCAGUACUUUGUCUGACAAUUUCUUUAAACGUUUCUCUAGAAAUACCUCCAGAAGAGAGUUACUCCAGUAGUUUCUCUGAGAACUCCUUUAAAAAAAUCUUAAAAUUCCUUCAAGGUUCCUCAGGGAAUUGCUCUGAGCAUUACGUCAGGGCUCCUCAAUAAAUUCCUCCAGAAGUUCCCUUGGGAACUCUUCCAACAGUUCCUCCAGGAAUUCCUCUGGUAAUUCCUUCAGCACUUCAUCUAAGAAUUCCUCUAGAAAUUAUUAAAGAAGCUUCUUAGAAAAUGACUCUUGGAAUUCCUUCAGGAGUUUCUAUAGGAGUUCCUGCAACAGUUCCUAUGAGAAUUCCUCCAUUAGUUUCUCUAGAAAUUCAUUCAGGAGUUCCUCUGGGAAUUCCUCCGUGAAUUCAUUCAAGAGUUCCUCUUGGAAUUACUUCAGCAGUUGAUCUGGGAAUCACUUCUGCAGUUCAUCUGGGAAUACAUCCAGGAGUUCUCCUCUGUGAAUUCCUCAAGGCGUUCAUCUGAGAAUUACUCUAGUAGUUCUCAUGGGAAUUUCUCCACGAGUUCCUCUGAGAAUUCGUCCAUUCGUCGUCCUCUAGGAAUUCAACCUACCAUUUAUCUGGAAAUUUUUUCUAGAAUUCCUCUAGAAACUCUUCCAGGGAUUCCUCUACUGGGAAUUCCUCCAAAAGUUCCUCUGGAAAUUCCUUCAGGAGUUUUUCUGAGAAUUACUCCAGUAGUUCAUCAGAAAAUUCUUUCAGGAGUUCCUUCGGGAAUUCCGGCAACAG